Molecule: transfer RNA, 74 nt
Filed under: Thermoleophilia bacterium
Lineage: Bacteria; Bacillati; Actinomycetota; Thermoleophilia
Also listed under: 2 other names
Description: tRNA-Pro
Rfam family: tRNA
About the family: Transfer RNA (tRNA) molecules are approximately 80 nucleotides in length. Their secondary structure includes four short double-helical elements and three loops (D, anti-codon, and T loops). Further hydrogen bonds mediate the characteristic L-shaped molecular structure. tRNAs have two regions of fundamental functional importance: the anti-codon, which is responsible for specific mRNA codon recognition, and the 3' end, to which the tRNAs corresponding amino acid is attached (by aminoacyl-tRNA synthetases). tRNAs cope with the degeneracy of the genetic code in two manners: having more than one tRNA (with a specific anti-codon) for a particular amino acid; and 'wobble' base-pairing, i.e. permitting non-standard base-pairing at the 3rd anti-codon position.
Source: RNAcentral
CGGGACGUAGCGCAGCUUGGUAGCGCACCUGCUUUGGGAGCAGGGGGUCGCGGGUUCAAAUCCCGCCGUCCCGA